Non-coding RNA from Peromyscus maniculatus bairdii (prairie deer mouse), 4117 nucleotides. Lineage: Eukaryota; Metazoa; Chordata; Mammalia; Rodentia; Cricetidae. The record is from RefSeq and is a predicted model, not a curated record.
CCCAAUACCUGGUUCCCAAUUUUGCUUUUAUUAAUAAGAUCUUUUAAGAUUCAUGCUACAAAAGGCUCUUUCUUAAAACAAGUUAUUAGCAUAUAUCAAUUUUGCACACAUAUAGUUCCAAAUAUGUGCACAAUGCACUCUAAUCACUUGAUGAAGUACUUUUUCCACAGAGUACUCUUCCUGUCUGCCGUUUCCACCUUCCCCUGCUCCUCCCUUCUUGGUACCCUCUGAGUAGAUGGCUGGGGAAGACCUGAAUGAAAUAUAAUUCUAUAUGUGUUUAUUGCGUAUUCCUCAGUAGAAUUAUUAGUUUUCCAUUUGUUGAGAUCUUGGGUCUAAAUGUCUUGAGUUUUGUUUGGGGAAAGGAUAAUGAGAAGAAUGUGACUAUUUCUACUUCUAACUAUACCAAAGCAAGGUACUGUUGCUGACCUAUUGUCACGUCCCAAGUGCUGAGAAAGGGCCUGAGAAGACACUGUCAGUUGCUCACAGGUACGAUCUUUGUGACUCAUCUCAGUGACCAGCACCACUGUGGUUUUAUCUGUUCUGUCAGUGUGGUUUGUGAACUGAAGGCUAUUUUCUUCCCUCAUUUGUCUAUAUGUCCAAGUAACUAAUAGCUUAUGAAAACAAAAUAAAGUCAACGAUAGCAAGCAUUUAUCAAAUACUCAUCCAGAUCAGGAACUGUGUGAGUCACUGAAUUCCUUACCGGCCCUGCGAAGUGGGGGUUAGCAUCUCUAUUUUGCAGAAGAGGAAAGCAGAGCUUAGAAGACUUGAAGCCAUCAUUCAAGGUCACAGAGCAGACUCAAGGGCAACAGCUCUCCAGGAAAUCCUCAGGCCUUGGGCAUCAGACUGGAACUGCUGAGAAAUCCAGCCUCAUGAGCUGAACAAUUAUUGGAUUCUCCAUCUCUCUAGUGGAGACAGCCAUUUUUGGACUGCCAGGCCAUACCAUAAGCACAGUGGAUGUUUCACUCGAAGCUGUUCCAGCAUCAGCUUGCAGAAGCAGAAAACCCCACAUUUCAAAGACGGCACAAAGGUGAACCGAUAGGUGCCUGCUUCCAACAGCAAAGCCAUGCAAGGCGCUGGCCCAUGGCUUGGACUUUGUAAUAUGGAAGAGCCCGACACACUGUAAGUGGUUAUCGCUUUGUGGGGCUGCACAGUAUUAAUUUGCACGUUAUUCUGCGAUCACAUGGCACACUUUACCUGUUCUGCGCAUUGGGCAUUUUUAGAAGGAGGGUAAGGUUAGAAGAAGCUGGGCUGCCUUUAACCCCAGGUUUGGAGCAUGCUGUUAUUGCUGCGAUGUACUCUUUGGGGAGCCUGCUCUAGGAACAGAGGUGCGGAUGACAAAGGAGUAGGCCUUUCCCUCCAGGAGCUUACAGGUGAGUGCCUGACACGCAUGUGCUCAGUGCAGUGUGAAGUGUGGGGGAGGGGAAGAUUGGAGGAAAGCGUCCCCAGGAAGUAAACAUAGAGAAGAGACAGAAAUCAGGCCACUGUCCAGAAGUCCAAAUGGAUACGGAUAAUAGGAAUCAAGCACAUGGGUAAGGAUGGCGAGAACUUGGGAGGGAGAGGCAGGAGGAUGACUGUGAGUUCAAUGUUAACUUGGGUUGCAGUCCAAGACCCUGCCUUGACAAAGCAAAACAACAGAAUAAAGACAAGAGAGUAGUCUUGCAGAGAUAGAGAGAUAGCACCUUGUCUGCCAUGGUGUUCUUUAGCUCCUCAUCCAAGGUCAUUUGACAGGAAAUGGUUGCCCUUGGACUUGGGUCAGGCAGGACUGGGUAGGUGUUCUUACCUGUCUAGAUCUUUGUUUUGUCUCCUGUGAUAGGAGGCAGUUGCUGUAUGGUUUCAUGCCCCAUCUUAUUCCUACUUUGGAAUGCCCUAGCUCAUCCCCCUCCUCUUCUAGAAGGUACAUGAAGUCAUGAUGACAUGCCAUCCACCAUCCAUCUGCAAAGUCCUCAAGGUCAUGUCACCACUAGUCACGCCCAACCACAUGCUGAAAAUUUGAAGUCACUUCUGGCUUCGGUAUAGACUUAUUUCAAGGUUUUCAACUUUCAAUUUCCUAUUAAUCAAACAAGAAAAAAAAUCUACCUAAAAUUGCAUUAAAAAAAUCCCAGGACCCCAAAUCUGUGGCCAUCUCUCAUUCCAUCUGCUUUAUAUUUUUACAUGCUGGGUAUAAGUAUUACAUCGAGAGGUCGAAUCACUUCUCAGCGAGAAUCAAAAGGUGCUCUGGUUAAAUUGGGAAGGGCUUGGGAGGGAAGAAGAAAAACCUUUGCCAGAUUCAAAAAAGAAUGAUUUCUCAAAUAGAGUCUAUAAGAUGAACUGUGAGCCUGUAAAAUAACUGUAGGUUUAUAGGAUCUCUUACAGGCCUAUAGGACAACAUGUUGGCUAUAGGAUCUCUCCCCAUUCUGGAAGUCAAGGAAUGUUGUAGUGACUACUGUGUGCUAGAUACUCUAAACAUCAUCUUGUGUUUGCAGCAGCUGUAUCCUGGCUGUGGUGGAAUGCACCUGAAAUCCCAGAAUUCAGGGGGCUAUGUGAUGAGACCAUGUUUCAAAAUAUAAGCAAACAAAAACAAACAUUAGAGUCUUUUCAUCUUUAGUUUUUUGCAUCAUUCAUUUAGUGUGUGUGUGUGUGUGUGUGUGUGUGUGUGUGUGUGUGUGUGUAUUUGAGUGUGCACUGCACACAUACCAAGGUACAUGUGUGGAGGUCGGAGAAGCCAGCUCUUUGCUUCUACCGUGUGGGCCCAGGAUGUUGACCUCAGGUCAUCAGCCUUGGCUUCGAGUAUUCCUACCUUCGGAGACAUCUCACUGGCUCACCAAUGUUUCCAUUGUAAGUUCCCUUCAGGUGACUCCUUUCUAGGAUACACGUGAAUCCACAAGUGUGUGCUGAAGUCAGGGGAAAGUGGCGGCUUCUUGUCUUAUCAACAUCCCUCAAUGAAUGAGGAGGUCAGCCUCCUUUCUUUAGUGACUUAGAGUAAUGACACUGGCGAGUCUCCCUCCAAUUGGUCUCUGCUACCUAAUGAAGAGACAGAAUGUGUGUGUGUGAGAGAGAGAGAGAGGGGGGGAGAGGGAGAGAGGAGAGAGAAGUGAGAGAGGAGAGAGGAGAGAGAGAGAGAGAGAGAGAGAGAGAGAGAGAGAGAGAGAGAGAGAGAGAAUCUGUUUCCUACUUAAACAUUUAAACAGCCCUGGGUUUAUCUCUGCAGCUCACCCCAAGCAGCAGCGGCGGCUCACUCACCAGCCUCUUUCCCCUCCUCUAAGGAGGGACAGGGCUAUAGGCCUGUGAGCAUCCCAAGAAGCAUCUGGGCCAUUCAGGAAGCAUGUAAUGGGAUUUUUAAGUAGGUCUGUGCAGAGAGAAUAGAUGUCUUUAGAACUUAGCUGUUGACGUUCCGGUUGUGAGAGCCGAACAAUUGAUCUCUUCCCUCCUGGAUGCCCGGCUGUAAGCUCUCCUCUGCUAAUACGGAACUUUUCCUUCGGCUGGCACUAACCCAUUACCGCACGUAUAGGGCGUCAGUGACCCUCAAAAUGCCAAGGGCCGCCUGGCAGAGACUAGAGGAGGAAAUCUAAAGGUCCCAGAGAAAAAUUAGUAACAUUUCUAUGUGUGAUCAAUGUGCUCGCCUAAAAAUAAAUAAACAAAUGCUUUUAUAAUACCAUAAAAAAUAGAUUUAACCAAGAAAAGGUAAAGGAUCUGUAGACUGAAAACUCAUGAAAAACCUGAAGAAGACAUAAACAAAUGCAAAGGUACUUCCUGUUUAUGAAUGGGAAGAAUUAGUGUUGUUGAUUGUCACCUUGACAGGCUCUAGAGUCACUUAGGGGUGUCUUUUGAGGGAGUUGGAAAGAAGCCCUACACUGGGUGUGAACAACACUGUGCCGUGGACUGGGGUCCCGGUCUGAAUAAAAAGUAGAAGGCGAGCUCAUUUCUCUGUUUCCUGACUGUGACUGCCAUGUGACUCACUGCCUCAGGCUUCUGCUUCCAUGACAGACUAUCUCCAAACUGUGAGCCAAGAUAAACCCUUCCCUCCUUAGGUCCCAUGUAUCAGAUAUUUUCCCAUAGAAAUGAGAAAAGUAGCUCAUGUACUGUCCACGGCAAUCUAUAGGUCCAAUGCAGUUUCCAUUAAGAUUCCAAUGGCUUUUUU